GUGGGGAAUCUUGCGCAAUGGGCGAAAGCCUGACGCAGCCAUGCCGCGUGAAUGAUGAAGGUCUUAGGAUUGUAAAAUUCUUUCACCGGGGACGAUAAUGACGGUACCCGGAGAAGAAGCUCCGGCUAACUUCGUGCCAGCAGCCGCGGUAAUACGAAGGGGGCUAGCGUUGCUCGGAAUUACUGGGCGUAAAGGGCGCGUAGGCGGACAGCUUAGUCAGAGGUGAAAGCCCAGGGCUCAACCUUGGAAUUGCCUUUGAUACUGGCUGUCUUGAGUUUGGGAGAGGUGAGUGGAACUCCGAGUGUAGAGGUGAAAUUCGUAGAUAUUCGGAAGAACACCAGUGGCGAAGGCGACUCACUGGCCCAAUACUGACGCUGAGGCGCGAAAGCGUGGGGAGCAAACAGGAUUAGAUACCUCAGUAGUCC
RNAcentral lists this ribosomal RNA (425 nucleotides) under uncultured bacterium. RNAcentral's name for it is "bacterial SSU rRNA". It matches the Rfam family "Bacterial small subunit ribosomal RNA", at positions 354 to 796 of the family's 1533-position model. The record is from RNAcentral.